AUACGGAGGAUGCGAGCGUUAUCCGGAUUUAUUGGGUUUAAAGGGUGCGUAGGCUGUGCGUUAGGUCAGGGGUGAAAUGCCGUCGCUCAACGACGGAGCUGCCCUUGAUACUGGCGUGCUGGAGUACGGAUGCCGUUGGAGGAAUGCGUGGUGUAGCGGUGAAAUGCUUAGAUAUCACUAAGAACACCGAUUGCGAAGGCAUCUGACGAAUCCGUCACUGACGCUGAGGCACGAAAGCGUGGGGAUAGAACAGGAUUAGAUACCCUGGUAUUCCACGCCGUAAACGAUGAUGACUAACCGUCGGCGAUAGACAGCCGGUGGCCAAGCGAAAGCGAUAAGUCAUCCACCUGGGGAGUACGUCGGCAACGAUGAAACUCAAAGGAAUUGACGGGG
Molecule: ribosomal RNA, 393 nt
Filed under: uncultured bacterium
Lineage: Bacteria
Description: partial 16S ribosomal RNA
Rfam family: Bacterial small subunit ribosomal RNA
Source: RNAcentral